GAUGAACGCUGGCGGCGUGCCUAAUACAUGCAAGUCGAGCGAACAGACGAGGAGCUUGCUCCUCUGACGUUAGCGGCGGACGGGUGAGUAACACGUGGAUAACCUACCUAUAAGACUGGGAUAACUUCGGGAAACCGGAGCUAAUACCGGAUAAUAUAUUGAACCGCAUGGUUCAAUAGUGAAAGACGGUUUUGCUGUCACUUAUAGAUGGAUCCGCGCCGCAUUAGCUAGUUGGUAAGGUAACGGCUUACCAAGGCGACGAUGCGUAGCCGACCUGAGAGGGUGAUCGGCCACACUGAAACUGAGACACGGUCCAGACCCCUGCGGGGGGCAGGAGUAGGGAAUCUUCCGAAGUGGGCAAAAGCCUGAGGGAGCAACGCCGCGUGGGUGAAGAGGGUCUGCGGUUCGAAAAACUCUGUUUUGGGAAAAAACAAAUGUGAAAGUAACUAUGCACGUCUUGACGGAACCAAAUAAAAAAACCCCGGCAAACUACGU
Molecule: ribosomal RNA, 495 nt
Filed under: uncultured bacterium
Lineage: Bacteria
Description: partial 16S ribosomal RNA
Rfam family: Bacterial small subunit ribosomal RNA
Source: RNAcentral